AUCUAAGUACCCCGAGGAAAAGAAAUCAACCGAGAUUCCCCCAGUAGCGGCGAGCGAACGGGGAGGAGCCCAGAGCCUGAAUCAGCAUGUGUGUUAGUGGAAGCGUCUGGAAAGGCGCGCGAUACAGGGUGACAGCCCCGUACACAAAAGCGCAUAUGCUGUGAGCUCGAUGAGUAGGGCGGGACACGUGGUAUCCUGUCUGAAUAUGGGGGGACCAUCCUCCAAGGCUAAAUACUCCUGACUGACCGAUAGUGAACCAGUACCGUGAGGGAAAGGCGAAAAGAACCCCGGCGAGGGGAGUGAAAAAGAACCUGAAACCGUGUACGUACAAGCAGUGGGAGCACCCUUUGGGGUGUGACUGCGUACCUUUUGUAUAAUGGGUCAGCGACUUAUAUUCUGUAGCAAGGUUAACCGAAUAGGGGAGCCGGAGGGAAACCGAGUCUUAACCGGGCGUUAAGUUGCAGGGUAUAGACCCGAAACCCGGUGAUCUAGCCAUGGGCAGGUUGAAGGUUGGGUAACACUAACUGGAGGACCGAACCGACUAAUGUUGAAAAAUUAGCGGAUGACCUGUGGCUGGGGGUGAAAGGCCAAUCAAACCGGGAGAUAGCUGGUUCUCCCCGAAAGCUAUUUAGGUAGCGCCUCGUGAAUUCAUCUCCGGGGGUAGAGCACUGUUUCGGCUAGGGGGCCAUCCCGGCUUACCAACCCGAUGCAAACUGCGAAUACCGGAGAAUGUUAUCACGGGAGACACACGGCGGGUGCUAACGUCCGUCGUGAAGAGGGAAACAACCCAGACCGCCAGCUAAGGUCCCAAAGUCAUGGUUAAGUGGGAAACGAUGUGGGAAGGCCCAGACAGCCAGGAUGUUGGCUUAGAAGCAGCCAUCAUUUAAAGAAAGCGUAAUAGCUCACUGGUCGAGUCGGCCUGCGCGGAAGAUGUAACGGGGCUAAACCAUG
Molecule: ribosomal RNA, 951 nt
Filed under: Salmonella enterica
Lineage: Bacteria; Pseudomonadati; Pseudomonadota; Gammaproteobacteria; Enterobacterales; Enterobacteriaceae
Description: partial 23S ribosomal RNA
Rfam family: Bacterial large subunit ribosomal RNA
Source: RNAcentral